GAAUCGAAAACUUCCCGUGUUUAUGUAUACGUUCGUAAACUUUGCGUUUGCCUCUCCGGCGUUAUCGUCAAAUUUCUUCUUCCGAUAAAUAACUUUCCGUUUAGAAAAUUUCAUUUAACCUUAGUUCUAGAUAACACGGAAUUUCGAUUUCCUUUCUGCCGCCGAUCGAUAAUACAAUUAAACAGAUAUUCGAACAGAUGGAUCGAUUUCUCUAGUAACGCGCGUUACGUUCAUCGUAAUUAAAACGAAGUUUCUCGAUUUCUAUGAAAUGCAUAUUUCUCAUUCGAUGAAUAGUUCUUCGCGCGUUCGAUUUAUCGUAAUCGCAAUACUGCUCGCUUUUGUAGAUCGUUCCUGUUUAAUUACAUAGUACCAGCUCUAUUAGUAAUAGGUAUCUAUUUUUAUCUUUACCUGUCGUUAUGUAAAUCGUGAAACAUCCAUGUGUAGCUAACAUCGCGGAUAAAGCUAUCGUUAGUAACGCUUAUACUAGGAAAUCCGUCGAUGCAAUUUGCAUUCGUAGUACUUUUAAUUUCGACGGGAAUUCCAUCACGUAGCGGGUUCAUCGACUCCGAAACAUUUGCAAUUUUAAUAUCGUCGAACCGUUCGAACACGAUACGCUUUAGAAUCGACCGUGUCGCGUCGAUUAUUUUAUCUUUCUUUCGUUAUGGCGAUUCCUUCGCUUUUCGUUUAACGUCGCCAUGUCUGUACGACGAGACUUUAUAAAUCCUAAACUGUGAUUCUAACGCAAGGAAAGCCUGCUUCAUUUAUUUCGUUACAUUCUCGCGGAUAACGAUCGACCAAAUCGUUCGAGCACGACCAUCUCACCGAUUUAUCGUUCUUUGUCGAUCGAUUUUUACCCAACUGGAUGUCGGUAAUUCGAAAUUUCCUGAACAUCACCCAAUCGAUUAACUUUGAUCGAGUUGACUUUUCCUCUAUAUAUGCGUGACACGAACGCUACGUGUAUCAAAUUUCACACCUUAUCUUUCUCUAAUCGCGUGUAUUUUUAGUAGAAUUUUUAUACUUGGACGCCAAUUUCUCUCGCUUGAAAAGAUGGAACACUUUAUGCCGACUUACCUCUGGCACCGUUGUCUCGUAUGGCGUGUUAAUGAAUUUUGGCGCAUUAUCAUUUAUAUCUGAC
Long non-coding RNA from Bombus impatiens (common eastern bumble bee), 1135 nucleotides. RefSeq lists it as uncharacterized. The transcript is spliced from 3 exons. The record is from RefSeq and is a predicted model, not a curated record. NCBI's taxonomy places the organism in Eukaryota, Metazoa, Arthropoda, Insecta, Hymenoptera, Apidae.